GUUACCGCUACCGUGCUUGCUCCACCCAGCCCGUGAAAGACAUCAAGAUUCCGCGCCCUCCCAAUGCAUACAUAUUGUAUCGCAAGGAACGACAUCAUUUUGUGAAGUCGACAAACCCUGUUAUCACAAAUAAUGAGAUUUCUCAAAUUCUUGGAAAGGCCUGGAACGAAGAGUCGAAAGAAGUACGAAUGAAGUAUAAAGAUCUGGCUCAGCAAGUCAAGCAAGCUCUUCUUGAGAAACAUCCGGACUAUCAGUACCGUCCUCGCCGUCCCUGUGAGCGUCGUCGCCGCCGUCGCAAUGCUCAGAACAACCAGAGCGGUGGAAACGUGUUGGGAGUUGCGCCCCCUCAGCUUCCAGGCAUUCCAGGCUCAGCUAUUUGUACUUCAAGCACCAUUAGCACUCUUUAGAAGCCCGGAAUUUCGUUAUUUGUCCCGGACGAAAUCGUGGUGACGUCCCGCAGCAUCCGUAUUAUGAUCUAAGAUGCAUAUUUUGAUCGCAAAAAGUUAAAGACAGAAAGCUAGGAGCUCACGUACAGCUCGGAUUCUGGAAUUUGAAGACAAAAGACUGUUCUCGAGAGCAAUACCCAUUUUUUAUUUCAAUUGAGUUAAAAACGCCCGUUUAUUCCGUCGUCAAGCAGCUCCUAUUGUUUGUCAUCGCAUGCUCAGAGCUGGCUCUUUCUGUCGCAGUACGCCCUUUCUGUCUCAACUAAGCGUACCAAAUCUUCCAAAGACGAUCGAUCACAGAUUUUGAUACAUGGUGCGAUAGUGACCGGUGGCGAGCUAAUGCUGGCAACCAGAGAUGGCUGUCUAUUAUGAGGAGCACAUUAAUUGAUUAAGAGACGCCACUACA
This 849-nucleotide long non-coding RNA is filed under the name Nilaparvata lugens (brown planthopper). Its description in RNAcentral is "uncharacterized LOC120356358". Lineage: Eukaryota; Metazoa; Arthropoda; Insecta; Hemiptera; Delphacidae. The record is from RNAcentral.